UGAAAGAUGAUGGGAUGGGAUGCAUC
RNAcentral lists this non-coding RNA (26 nucleotides) under Homo sapiens (human). The record is from RNAcentral. Lineage: Eukaryota; Metazoa; Chordata; Mammalia; Primates; Hominidae.